This is a non-coding RNA of Chlorocebus sabaeus (green monkey), 3106 nucleotides long. Lineage: Eukaryota; Metazoa; Chordata; Mammalia; Primates; Cercopithecidae. The record is from RefSeq and is a predicted model, not a curated record.
CUCCUCAUGUGGCUCUACAUGAUCUCAUAAUCUGAGCCAGACACUAUACAGAUUCAUAACAGUGGUGCUCACCCUAGACCUUCUAGGCCCUGGAGGUUACACAGAGGCCUGAGAGGACAUCCAGACAUUCAAUCCUUGUCUAGGGCCUUGUGGGAAGUAAUUGCGCUUUCCUGGGACCAGUGAGCUAGUGUGUGCCCCUGAGGCCACAUGGGACACUCUGAGGGAGGGAAUGGCUCCGCUCAGCCAAGCUGGCCAAUAUGGCCUAAUAAGGUGGUCUGAGGACUAGUAUACAUGCUAGUUGAAUGUGCAGGUGAGAACCUGUGAGUGUGUGUGUGUGAGAUGGUGGGUAGAAAGGCCAGCAUGUGAAAGCAUUGUGUGUGUGAGUGUGUGUGUGAAAGAGAGAAGGGAGUUGUGAGUAGGAAGGCCAACAUGUGAGUGCAUUGUGUGUGAGUGUGUGUGUGUGUGUGUGUGUGUGUGUGCACCAGAGAGUGGGAGAGAGAGAGAAAAACAUGUUGAUAGGUAUAGAUAAGGGAUUUGGGAGUACGUGUGGAGGAAUUGGGUUCCUAAGAAGGUGACUAAGUUAGAGAUUUUGUAAACGUGGGGCUUUUGGGGUGCAGAAGCAGGCCAUCUGGUUCGGAGAAACCACCAAACGCCCCCCAAGUUCCACAUCAUGGGAUUCCCCCUCCCAACUUUCCUGGCUAGUCCUAUCAGCACCACGGACAGCGCAUCGAUAAUGUCAAACCCGGCAGGACAGAAAGAGCAGCAGCCCCACCCCUUCCCUUCCAUUCCAACCUGAGUCACUGCUCACUCCUUCGUCCAACGUCAGUUUCCUCAACUGUGUAUUGGGAGGUUGAGGUGGGUGUGGGGGACGUGAGUUGGUCCUUUGAAGAGGAAAACUGCAGUUUAGGGCAAAGUAUCAUAAACAUCUGGCUGCUUCUGGGCACCAAUUAAGCACAUUAAGUGGGGAGCGACAGCAGCUACACAACCCAAGCCCAUAAAGCCUUCUAAUUGCUCCUACCCACGUGGUCACAGUUUCCCCACUUAUAUAAAAGGCCUACAGAGGUGCAAGGAGUGAACGCCUGACGCCUCGACCACUGUACUCUCCAUUCGGACGUCUCCAUCCUCAGAACCUCCUCUCUUCCCCAAAAAGCACCAUGACUUGCGGAUCUUACUGUGGUGGCCGCGCCUUCAGCUGCAUCUCGGCCUGCGGGCCCCGGCCUGGCCGCUGCUGCAUCACCGCGCCCUACCGUGGCAUCUCCUGCUACCUGGCCUCACUGGGGGCUUUGCUUGGCGCCACAGCGUGUCACGGAGGCUAUAGAGCCGCUCCUGCUGGGCCACUUGAUUCGGCUACGCUCUCAGGGCGUGUGCGGGCCCAGCCCCCCAUGCAUCACCACCGUGUCGGUCAACGAGAGCCUCCUCACGCCCCUCAACCUGGAGAUCGACCCCAACGCGCAGUGUGUGAAGCAGGAGGAGAAGGAGCAGAUUAAGUGCCUCAACAGUAGGUUCGCGGCCUUCAUCGAUAAGGUGCGCUUCCUGGAGCAGCAGAACAAGCUGCUGGAGACAAAGCUGCAAUUCUUCCAGGGCCGCGAGUGUUGCCAGAGCAACCUGGAGCCCCUGUUCGAGGCUACAUCGAGACUCUGCGGCGGGAGGCCGGGUGCGUGGAGGCCCGACAGUGGGAGGCACAGCCUCAGAGCUCAACCACGUGCAGGAGGUGCUGGAGGGAUACAAGAAGAAGUAUGAGGAGGAGGUUUCUCUGAGAGCAACAGCUGAGAGCAGUUUGUGGCUCUGAAGAAGGAUGUGGACUGCGCCUACCUCCAUAAGUCAGACCUGGAGGCCAACGUAAGGCCUGAUCCAAGAGACCAGGCUUCUAGAGGCGGCUGUGUAUGAAGAAAGCCUGAGAAGUUCUCAGUCCCACAUCUCAGACACACUCUGUGUGUGGUUGUCAGGAUUGGACAACAGCCGGGACCUGAACAUGCUGGACUGCAUCGUCGCCGAGAUCAAAGGCACAGUACGACGACAUUCACCCGCAGCCGGGCGAGGCCGAGUCACCAGUACCGCAGCAAGUGUGAGAUGAAGGCCACGGUGAUUAGGCAUGGGGAGACCUAAGGCCGCACCAAGGAGAGAUCAACGAAACUCAAGCUGGAGGCAGCGGUGGCCCAGUCUGAGCAGCAGGAGUGGCGGCCCUCAGCGAUGCCGCUCGCUGGCCGAGCUGGGCCCUGCAGAAACCAAAGCAGGACAUGGCCUGCCUGAUCAGGGAGUACCAGGAGGUGAUGAACUCCAAGCUGGGCCUGGACAUUGAGAUCGCCACCUACAGGCGCCUGCUGGAGGGCGAGGAGCAGAGGCUGUGUGAGGGCGUUGGCUCGGUGAAUGUCUGCGUCAGCAGCUCCCGCGGUGGCGUCGUCUGUGGCGAUCUCUGUGCCUCCACUACUGCCCCUGUUGUCUCCACCAGAGUCAGCAGCGUCCCAAGCAACAGCAACGUGGUGGUGGGCACCACUAACGCUUGCGCCCCCUCCAUCGGGAUUGGCGCCUGCGGCGGCAGCUGUAAGAGGUGCUAGGAGGCUGCGGCCUCUGCCAGCGCCUGUAGCCAUCAUUCUCCACCCAGCCAGUCCUCAGGCCGCCGGAACGCGCCGCCCUGGCCAGCUUCCCAAGAGCCGCCGCCAGCUGCGUGCACUCUAAGUGCCCUCCCCACCGCUCCGCUCUGGGAGCCAUCCCUGGUCGCAGGAGUCCGGGGAGGCCCGGCCAGCGCCGUGGUCUCUCUCUCUCUAGCCUUUCCUGGUAGUCAAUUUAUUGUCCUGAGGAUUCAUCCUUUUCUUCCGCCUACCUUCUGUUUUUUUGCUGUAUGCAUUGGUCUUGCCUGACCUCUUCCCCAAAGCUUGGAGGAACGGGGGAGGCCCGGGAAUGUCCCUGUCUGCACGACCUGGGACUCUGCCCAUGCGCUUCUGCCUGUGGAAUGGAGACGUGCACCCUGGAUGGUGGUUCUGUGACUCUGCGAGGGACAGGCCCACGUGUGGCCCGCAAGAGCUUCUGAAAAACUAAUGACUCUGCUGCCUUCUCCUUUGUCUUUGUUUCACUCUGUGUUUCCAAUAAACUCAUUGUAGCGAAUCAA